RNAcentral lists this long non-coding RNA (4513 nucleotides) under Equus caballus (horse). Its description in RNAcentral is "lncRNA (ENSECAG00000050567.1)". Lineage: Eukaryota; Metazoa; Chordata; Mammalia; Perissodactyla; Equidae. The record is from RNAcentral.
UCUCAUACUAAACAAAAACCUAACGUGCUUGGGGAGCAAAAGCAAGUUCUGGCACUCUCAGGGCACCCAUUAUUGCGUCAAUACCCAUUAUUGCUGUGGGAAGGGAAGUAGAAACAAACUUCUUUUCUUGGGGAAAUGGCAGGGAAGAGUUUUACACAGGGUUCUAUAUUAACAGUGUUGGAGGUCUCAGCACCAUAGGAGAAGAUGGAAAAUCUCUCCCACACAAGACUCACCACAGGUAUAAUGCAGAAAUCGGCCAUCAUCGGGAGGAGGCGUAGGAAUGAUGAGAAACCCCACCUAUGAAGCCCAGGCAUACGGGACCUAAGACACACUGGACCAGGACAGAAGAGGACUGCCUCUGUCCUCUGUCCAUCAGCCAGCAAACAGAAUCUGAAAACCAUGAAGGUUAAGUAACUUCACCAACGUGCCACACCUGCUGAGUAGUGAGUUACUCUUCAAACUCGUGAUGUCCGGCUCCAAAGCCUCAGUUUCUUCCAUUAAACCAUCGUAUUAGGAGGUGUGAAAAUGAGACAGCUACAAGUAUGUUUAAAAUUACAAGUAAUAAUAUUACAUUUGCAACAAGAGCGUUCAACAGAACAGGAGUUUAUGCCCUGGAAGAAGUUCAGUCUUAAGGUCCAUUUUCACUUACUCAAAUUAGAUGGAUUGGAGCAUUACACACAUUACAAGAAAAUUUCUGGAGAUUGGAAGUCUGAGAUCAGAUGCCAGCAUGGUUGGGUUCUGGUGACAGCUCUCAUCGUGGUUUGCAAACACCUGUCUUCAUGUUGUAGCCUCACUUCAUGGAGAGAGAGAGUUCUGGUAUAUUGUAAAAAUCUACUCACACAAAUACUAAGCAAAAAAGAUAAGGAACUUGUUAAUCAUGUGGAUUGCAGGGUUUCAUGAAAUCUAAUAAAGUGAUUUUGGAUAACUAAUACAACCAAUGCAAAGCAAUCUACAAGUGAAGACACAAGCAGAGUGAGCGUGGUUAAUGACUGAAGAAGAGAAAUGGAAAAGAAAAGAAAAAAAGAUCUUUCAAGAGAGAAUAAUUUUGAAUAUCAAACAAUGAAGAGCUUUUCAGAAUUUUGAUGAAGAAAAUCCUUGAAAAUUCUUGCAAAAAUGAUACCCCUCCCUUUUAGACUGUUCAUUCAAAAUAUAGUGCUAUCAUUUAAUUUUGCCCAAAAAAUUACCCCCAAGUUAAUACAAUUCAUUCUUUUUAAUUCUAAAAAUUAGCUUAUACUUAUAAUUACAACCAAAAAUACGACAGUUAAAUAACGCUUUUUUAUAAUUUUUCGCUGUAUAUUUCAAAUCAGCCAGUUGGACCAAUCAAGUAUUGUCAAUGUUCAUUAUAAAGUUUUCACCCCACCUUUGGAAACCUCUCUAAAGGUGACUUUUUCUGUACCAAGUGUCCUUCAACAAAGAGGAACCUCCUGGAUCUCAGUGAUUAUGAGGGACACGACCUGGCAAAGGCCUUGUGACUGUUCUGAGAUUCAGUUAUACACUUAUAAAAUCACUGUGUUCUGUUUAAUUAUACUCAUGAAGAAAUACGAACUAUAAAUAUAACUAUAAAAAUAAAUAUAAACUAUAAAUUCCCUAUAAGCUCUAAGAUUGUUAUUGCACAUUUCAAUUUCUUAUAAUGAGUAUCUUAGAUCACUUUCAGGAAACAAGAAAUGUGUCAUUUUGGAAACUUUUGCUUUGUUAAUAUAUUUUUUAAUGCUUUAAGGUUUAAAAAUCAGCUAUCUGAAAAAAACCUCUUGUCUCAUUCCCUCACUAUGUCAGAUGCAUGAUAUGAAGAUUUUUCCAAUUAAAAAAUCCCAAAACACGUUUUCACAUUGUGGAAAACUUGGAAAAUGACAAAUAGGCAAAAUGGAGGAAAAAACUCAUUAUCUUUAUACCCUAAAACAAAGAUGUUUAAGAUUUUAUCACUAUUCCUCUAAUCUUCCAUGUGUAAAUUAUAUCUGAGACACGUUCCCAAGACAUUGACAGCCUUUUAUAAUCAUUUAAUCACAGAUGCAUGUAACAUUCUUUACUAAAUAUUCUUCCCCUUAGAUAUUUAAGUGGUAUAAAUAGACUAUUAUAAAACAAAAUUGUGUUCCUGUUGUCAUUGUUUUUUACGUAACUCUGCGAACUUUAGAUUAUUCUCCAAGGACAAAUUUGUGGAAAUGAAAUUGUCAGAUGAAAGACUGAGCAUUUUAAAAGUUUGUGUUUUGAAUUGCCAAAAUAUUAAAGAAACCAAUAAACCUAGGAAAAUACCUAACAGAAAUGUGUAGGACUAAUAUAAAGAAAACUUUAAAACACCAUUAAGGAAUACAACAGGAAUCCUAAAUAAAUAGAAACAUAUAACUUGUUCUUGAAUUAAAAAGAAUCAAAAUUCUAGGCUUGCAUUUAAACCUUGAAGAUCAAACACAUGUGUUUAUCUCUGAACUGUGCCAAAAUUCUACUGAAAUUACAGCAAUGGAAUUAAUUGCACAUAGGGCCUGAAAGGCAAAGAAACCGGAAGAGUUGACAAAAGUGACUUUGUGGAAUAUAGAAAGUGAGUGUCAGAGUUUUGCUGCUCUGAAGAGCAUGUGUGAGUGUGGGAGGGAGAUAUAUUGGGGACUGGGGGAUAGUUAAAAGCAGGCUUCUGAAGGCCAAAGUACAUGGCAGGGCUACAAGUGAGGGUGUGUUUGGUGUCUAUGGAAGCGUUAGACCCUGAGAUCUCUUUCAUCUGCCCAAGUAGCCAGGUCUCUGGUCCUGCCUAAAUCUUAUAGGAGGCAGGAAGCUUUCACUCUGAAGAAGUUUAUCCUGGAGACUUUGUACUCAGUAAAAUCAGAAACUGGUUAGGAAGAGAAGAGACACUUUUCCACAAGUAAGGGAUUAUCCUCCAGUCUAGACAUGUUGAUAGCUAAACUUAAAUUCAUGAGGCAGAAGAAUUUAGAUUCAUCUUGUGGGAAAUGGACUAUAAAAGGGAGCAGCAAAAACACCAGUCAACAAGACCUCUAUACUGUAGCCCAGCACAAACACCAUGAUUCUAAUAACAGUUUUAAUGUGCUGCUAUUAAAUAUGAAUGCACAGCCAAAGAUCAUCAGAUAUCUGAUAAAAUCCUUUAACAUGAAAAAAAAAAGUAAUAAUCAGAAUGAAAGAAGUCAGAGGAAAGAGAAAACUCAACGAGCAGAAGGAACUUCGGGGAAAGUCCCAUAUAUAAUAUUAUAGGCAAGAGAAGCUACUGUAUUAUGCGACAAAACAAAAUACUAUUGAGAAAAAAAAAGAAUGUUAAAGCAAUGUACAAGAAGAAAGUGUUCCUAGAGUCAAGGAUAUGAAAUUCUAACUUAAAGUCAAUAGCUUGGUGUUUACAUUUGAGGAAAUCUAACAGGAAAAAAAAUUAGAAAAGAGAAUGAAAUUAGAGAGUCAUUGACAAAUUUAUCAUCAGAUUUGUACAGCUCCCAGAAAAGAAUACAGAAAAAAUAGGAGGAAGGAAAUUAUCAAAAAAAAUAUGUAAGAAAAAUUUUUGGAGAAACAUGAGUUUGUUUCAUGAAGUCUCUAGUAUAAUGCAUGAGGAAAGACCCAUAGCUUUACAUUACUGUGAAAUUAAAAUACCAUAAAUAAAGAGACAAUCCUAAAAGUUUAUAUAAUGGAAAGACUGAGGGCUAUAUAAAAAUUCAGAAUUCAGUGUAGAUUCCAUAACAAAAACAUUAUUUAUCAGAAAAAAAUAUUUCAAUCUAGAAUUUUAAAUCCGACCACGUAUAAGGUUAGAAUCAAGACAUUUCCGGCACACAAAUUAAAGCAAUUGAUUUAUCAUAAGCACUUUCUCAGUAAUCUUCCAUAAAGUAUUUGUUCCUAAAAUAAUAUAGUAAUCCUAGAAGGAAGUCAUGAGAUCCCAGAAACAGGAGCUCAAAUAUUAGAAAAAGGUGGAGGAAAUUCCCGGGACGAUAUUGGAGGGAAGUCUCAGAAUGCUAGCCACACUUAGUAUCUAAGAUCUAGAAGUUCUAAGGGGUCACAAGGAUGGGGCUCCUCAUGGGAUGGUGAAAAGAGGACACAAACAAUCAGAGGAACUGAUAGACUACUUGAUUUGUAUGGAUUGCACAGGGAGAUUUAUAUUUGGGAGAUUAUGUUAAACCAAAAAUUUGGCCCUGGAAUAGAAAUAAGUAGACAGAAAAACAAGUGAAUGCUAAUAAAAGAAGCAAUUAGUAACUCCAGAGAAAACAAACAUUUUUAUAAGAAAUGUGAUCUUAGUAUGUUGGCAGUUGUGUGGAAAAGGGAUGUUGCCAAACAUUUUUUGGAGGAAAAAUAAAUUAGCACAGCAUUUUUGAAAAACAAUUCAUUCAGUAAUCAUCAUGAUAUAAAACAUGAAUAGGCUUUGUCUUAGCAGUUCCUCUUCUAAGGAAAAUAACACACAGAAAUAUUCUCCAGAAAGUUCUUGAGUAUAUGCACAAAGACUUUGAUGGUAACAAAUUAAUAAUAGGGGAGAGAGAGAGAAUUAAACGUAUAUUGGUAGUAUUAUGGAAUACUAUAUACCUAUUAGAAAAAGAGAAAGUUUGAU